AAGGCAAGAUUGUCCAGAAAUCAUCACAGGAGGGUACACAAAAAUAGUAAAAUCUCAUUUCGGAACAAGAAUGGAAUCAAAAUUCCAACUGAACUACACCAGAAUCGUUCAUCUUCAGAGAUAUUUUUUGAGGGUCAGAUGACACUUGAUUGGGGCGAACGACUAUUGUUUCGAAGCUUGAGAUAUGUACUAUCUAAGCCUAAGAGGACUGGAGUUAAAACAAAGUCGUUUCGGACCUCGUUUUGGCCAAAACAGUAGAUCAGUCUUAUUACUACAAAAUUGCAGAUUCAAGCUAAAUCAACUACAAUCAUUCAAGAAUAUUCAUCCACAUUCAAGCUUCAACAACUCAUCAAAGAUCACAUGAGCAUAGUAUAUAUCCCUAAGAUUAAACCCUCGCCCCGGCCGGCUAAUCCAACCUCGCUUCACAAGGUUCGAGACCUUGAAGUUACCUUUUAACUUGAACUCGAACGUGACCGAUUGCGAUUGAACAGUUGCCAAUCAAUGAUCGUCGAAGCUUCGUCGAACCUCAUGGAUCGUGAAGGAUUAGUGUCGAUCUACAAGAAGUAUGCAAAAGCAAUCAAAGUAGAAUCCGUGUUAACCAAAACCUAAGGAAAAAAGUGAUCCACUUAGCUUUUUUUCUGAGCUUAAUCUUCUGUUUUGCUGAACACUCAUGAAGAUGAGACCGAAGUUUUCUAAAUCUCAAAUCGACUGGAUUUCAUUCAUCAUUAAUCUUUGAUCUUUGAUUUACGAGACUCAUCAAUGGAUGCUUUGGCUUUAAACUUGAUGAUUGCAACUGCUUCACAAGAGUUGCAAUCUCAGAGCGUUUCUUCAGAUUCUCUUAGCCGAAUCUUGCUGCUGCACUUUUUCUAGAAAUCAAGACGCCAACAACUCUAAGCUUCUGAUGGCCGAACAACGAGAGGAAAAUCUUUGCAAGAGCUUGCUUGAUCAGAUAGGCCUCACGAACUCGCCAAAUGCUCGGAAUGGCGAUCCGAUCGCCAAUCUACGAGCUGGAUUGAACGCCGGUCAGAUCGCUGAUCCAGCUUCGGAGAUGUCCACCAUUCAACGACUAUGGGGCUGUUAAUCAGCAAAAAUACACUGAACUCCGUGGAGAACCUGAAUCUAAUAACAUUCUAUAACUAAAACAGAGAGAAGAAGUGGAAAACUUAUCUCCGAUUUUGUUAUUGGAACUUCUAGAAAUGGAGAAUGCCGAGCUUCAAUCAAUGAAGAUGAUCUCGAGAAACAAGACUUCAAAUCACAGAUCAGUGGAGAGACGGAUUACAAGUCUUGAUCGGAAUCGAAGCUCGAUCCGGGAAGAAAUUGAAGUUUAUGAUUCUUUCUUUGGUGUUGCAAAUACAAGAUCGUUUCCUCAACUUCUUUUAGCCAAAUCUAGAAUUUCAGCUUGCUCCGGUCUUAGCUAUGAACAAUCUCCUUGGAUUGUAAGGUGAAGCUCAUGAAGAGCUCGAUCAUUCCCUUCGAUAAAAGACAAAAUCUGUUGCCUCGAUUGUAUUCUCCGCCAUGGACAGAAUGAGUGGAGUAAAUCCACGGAGAGAAAAUAAGUGGAGAGUUUUUUUCUCCAACUUCCAUAAGUCCAAAACAGAAAAAUCCUUCAAGAGAGAGAAGAAGUGGAGAAUUCAUCCAAGAGAGAGAUUAAGUUAGUGGAGAUUUUCUUUUGCCCGAACUCCAGCGAAGAGUUGCCUCCCUUUUUCCCAUUCUUC
RNAcentral lists this long non-coding RNA (1715 nucleotides) under Eucalyptus grandis. RNAcentral's name for it is "long non-coding RNA (EGRA_LNC005709)". The record is from RNAcentral. Lineage: Eukaryota; Viridiplantae; Streptophyta; Magnoliopsida; Myrtales; Myrtaceae.